Long non-coding RNA from Impatiens glandulifera, 431 nucleotides. RefSeq lists it as uncharacterized. Lineage: Eukaryota; Viridiplantae; Streptophyta; Magnoliopsida; Ericales; Balsaminaceae. The transcript has 2 exons. The record is from RefSeq and is a predicted model, not a curated record.
AUCUUGGAGAUAACGGUUGAGCAGAUUCACGGAUUAAUGUCACAGGUUAUAAAGGACAUACUAUUCAAUUCAGUUAGACAGCCCAGCGGUGGCAGCAGCAGCAGCAGACACAGUUGCUGUGAACAUUCUUCUGGUCCUGAACCUAUGGUUGAAACCUAAUCAAAAUCCUCAAUGGAUUAGCAACUCUGUUUCUGACAUAUAUUUUCCUCUCUCUUUAAACCCCUACCCUAAACCUUGACGUUUUUUUUGCUCUAUGUGAAUUGAAGAAAGCUAAGGAUAUUCAGCAGCUUAUUCUCCCAUGGGUUUACUUUGCCAAUUGCUUUUGCUUAGGUAUGUUUGAUACAAUUCAGUUUAUAUGUUCCAGCUUAUUUGCUGCUAAUUGGUUUGAUGGUGUUAUGAGAGAGACAAAAUAAGAGAUAACAUGGUUGUUU